AAGAAGAAAUGGCUUAUACAAAUGAAGAUGUGACCAGGCACGGUGGCUCAUGCCUGUAAUCCUAGCACUUUGGGAGGCUGAGGCUAGCGGAUCACUUGAGCCCAGGAGUUAGAGACCAGCCCAGGAGACUAUUUCUCUAAAUGGCACACCAAGUGUCUAUGGCCAAGGUGAAAUGGUGGUUGAGCGUGUCUGUCAUCUGGGCCGCGCGUACCAGCUGAAGAAAAAGCAAGGAGGACACUUGUCCAGUGAUCCACGGUGCUUGCUGCAGGUCAUUCCCACCUCACCACUUCAGGAGAUCAGAUCCAACUUCUAUGUGCAAAGCCAACAACCGGAGAGUGACAGAGCUAGGACUCAAAACCACAGUGUUUCCGCAUGGAGGAAGAGAAGAAAGGGGAGAAUGGAGGGGAAACAUCUUUUAUACCGGACUCCUUGUUCCACAACCCCCACCAGCAACCCCAACCAGUGUGGCAUUUGUCUUCUGCAGUAA
RNAcentral lists this long non-coding RNA (487 nucleotides) under Callithrix jacchus (white-tufted-ear marmoset). RNAcentral describes it as "lncRNA (ENSCJAG00000074727.1)". Lineage: Eukaryota; Metazoa; Chordata; Mammalia; Primates; Cebidae. The record is from RNAcentral.